This 368-nucleotide transfer-messenger RNA is filed under the name Candidatus Wildermuthbacteria bacterium RIFCSPHIGHO2_02_FULL_48_16. It matches the Rfam family "transfer-messenger RNA". From Rfam's summary of the family: Bacterial tmRNA, also known as 10Sa RNA or SsrA, is named for its dual tRNA and mRNA-like properties. Its role is to liberate the mRNA from a stalled ribosome. To accomplish this part of the tmRNA is used as a reading frame that ends in a translation stop signal. RNAcentral also lists the same sequence under 2 other names. Lineage: Bacteria; Candidatus Wildermuthiibacteriota. The record is from RNAcentral.
GGGCACGAAUAAGGCAUUGACAGGGAGACUAAUUGCUCCUGAAUGCAGGCCGAGUUUCCUAGGCACUCGUUAACGAACUAGGGGCACCAAAAAUGCCAACAUAUUUUCCCCGCAAAGGGAACUUGCCUACGCAUAAAAGCGCUUAGGCCAUCUGACUCAUUGACUCUCGAUAUAUGAGUCGGGUGUCAACCCAUCGAGAUUUAGGGUAAUUUCUGAAUAAGCCCAGGAAACUACUUGAAACAGCAGGGCUCAAGGGAGGAGGUUUUGCCCAGUUCACGACUUCUCUCGUUUCUUUCAACUGGGAUACGCCUGUAGAGUUCGGAGUGAUUACUUCUUGGACGUGGGGUCGGGACCCGCCGUGUCCACAA